AACGAACGCUGGCGGCAUGCCUAACACAUGCAAGUCGAACGGGAUCCUAGCUUGCUAGGUGAGAGUGGCGGACGGGUGAGUAACACGUGGGAAUCUGCCUUUUGGUUCGGGAUAACCGCGGGAAACUGCGGCUAAUACCGAAUGCCCUCGAGAGAGGAAAGAUUUAUCGCCAGAAGAGGAGCCCGCGUCCGAUUAGGUAGUUGGUGGGGUAAAGGCCUACCAAGCCGACGAUCGGUAGCUGGUCUGAGAGGAUGAUCAGCCACACUGGGACUGAGAUACGGCCCAGACUCCUACGGGAGGCAGCAGUGGGGAAUAUUGGACAAUGGGGGCAACCCUGAUCCAGCAAUGCCGCGUGAGUGAUG
RNAcentral lists this ribosomal RNA (362 nucleotides) under uncultured bacterium. RNAcentral describes it as "bacterial SSU rRNA". It matches the Rfam family "Bacterial small subunit ribosomal RNA", at positions 29 to 410 of the family's 1533-position model. The record is from RNAcentral.